Equus caballus (horse) is the source of this 7008-nucleotide non-coding RNA. The record is from RefSeq and is a predicted model, not a curated record. Lineage: Eukaryota; Metazoa; Chordata; Mammalia; Perissodactyla; Equidae.
CACACCUGGGAUCCGAACCGGCUAACCCUGGGCCGCUGAGAAGCGGAGCAUGUGAACUUAACCGCUGCACCACCGUGCUGGCCCCUGAAACUUUCUUUGUGUCCUGAAGUGGCCUGGGAAUGCGCUAAGUCAGAGAUGGAGCUGGGGAGCCACAGGGCAGAACAUGGCGCCCGUGCUGGCUGGCUCCCCAACUGUGUACAGAUACCUCAUUUGCAGUUGCUUCAAAGGCCAGGCUUGCUGACAGUUAAUGUUAAGGGGACAUGAGCCAGGAGAUGUGGCUUCCAAGCUGUGUAACAGCAGGCAGCUGGGCUCUCCAACUCCAAGUUUUGGGAAGAUUCCACGACUUCCUGGGAAGAAGCAUUUCCUUAAGAUGCCUGUAGCCUCACAGAACGUCAGAGGUGGCCGUCCCUUGAGAACAUCUAGUCCAAGCCCCCAUUUUACAGAUGGGGAAACUGGGGGUCUCAGAUAGCAAGUUGUCCUCUAUAAUUUUGGCCAUCAAUCGAAAAGAAUUGCAGAAAAGUGGGGGCAACCACCUUAACCAAGUUUUAUUGAGCACUUAUUAUGUACUAUUCUGUAUUAUACUGUACUUAUUAAGAAUUCUACAUGCAUUAUUUCAUGCGAUCUUCAGAGAAAGCCCAUCAGGUGGGUACCGUUUAUCUCCAUUUUACCAAUGGGGCAAUGCAGUUUCCAGAGGAUGCGCAACUUUCAGAAGAACCAGCAUGCGAAUCCUUCCCAUCUGCGGCCAGUCCGCAUCCGAAUCACGGUGCUUUUCCACCUGCCCACUGAGGCUACUUUAACUUCCCUCAUUUUACAGGUGAGGGCACCUGUAACGCAAAAAGAGGAGCAGCUGGCCUAAGGCCACUCAAAUAAUUAGUGGAAAAUAUUGCUAUUGCUACUGAAAGUAGCUAACAUUUAUUGAGCUCUUACUGUAUACCAGAGAUUGCUCUGUGUGCUUUUCAUUCUCGUAUUUAAUUUUUACCACAAUCCUAGAAGAACGUUGGUACCAUUAGGUGAGGUAACCAAGGGCUGGGGAGGUUGAGAGUAACUUAUUCAGUGAUUCAUAAUUAGUAAGUCAGGAUUUAAGUGGAAGCUCCAAAAUUGACUGUCCUAAUUCGACUUAGUGAGGCCCAAUGUCUCGCAAUUCCGUAUACACAUCCGUUUUCAUAUCUCAUUUAAUCCUCCUGGUGACCCCUAAGGCAAGGAAUUGGGAAACCUGGAGAUAAUUCUAGCUCUGCUACUAAAUGCAUCUUAUGCUCUCAGGUGAGCCAUUCUCCCUCUGAGUGCCUCAGUUUCCUUAUUUGUAAAAGAGUUGUAGCAUCCUUAUUUAUGCCACAGGAUCUUGUGAGACAGUAAAUGUGCCUGUGCUUCCCUAGCUGAAAAGGGCCGAAUAGGGGAUUAUUCUGGUUCUUUCCAUCAGCUCCCUUUAUUCUUUGAGGUCUGGAGGCUUUCUCUGUUGCUCCAUCCCUUCAGAUCGCCACCAGAGGGUCCACGUUUGUUGUGAGUUAGAUGACAGCUGGGUUUGUAUUUGGUUCGGAUGGAGCGUGGCCUGGGUAUUAAAUGGCUGUCAGCGAGGCCUCCUUUCUAGCUGGCUCAGACGGACGAUGGGGCUGGGCUCCUUCCAGAUGUCUGGGGACACCUGCAGAGCGGAGCCGUGGGGCCUCCAACACUCAGUCCCCGUUCCUUUGUGCUUGAAGGAUAGCACUUAGAAGAUACUGGCUCCAACCUGAGGCAGGCUGAACUCUGCUUCAAAAUCCUGCCCCGCUUCUGUGAGGCGGGAGAAAGGCCAGGGCCCAGAGGUUUUGGUAACAAAUAACGCUGAGAAAUGGUGCGGAAUCCAGGUGUCAGGACCUCCUGGCCUCAUCAGCAGUGUGUUCUAAUCAUUUCACAGCAUUUGGCCAUUUGGGCUGUUGGCGUUUCUAGGAAAAUUCAUUUUAAUCUUAACCAGUCUUAUUGUGUUCUUUUUUAUCCAGAUAGGGAAUACUGUUUCUUUCUCCGGUCUACACUCAUUUCUUCCUUAUUUUAAAUCCCGCAGUACUUAACCCUCUCUGAAACCCAGGGGAGGAAAAUGACCUUUGAGAGCUGCCUCUUUGCGGGUCCCUGUGCUAAAGCUUGUACACAUGUUACCCCAUAUCAUUCCUGCAAAGACAGGCCGCUCUCUCCUUGUGGGGCUCACUCUCUCAUAAUGAUGGUCUCGCUUUUUCAGUCUCCUUUGCUGGCUCCCCUGAAGGUCAAGUGCCUGGGCUCUGUCAUAGUCCCUUUCUCUCUUCUCUAGGGCUUUGUAGGUGAUUUUAUCCAGACCUUGGGCUUUACCGUCUGUCUCUGUGCUGAUAACCCAAGUGUAUGUCUCCAGAUCCAGCUGUGCACCUGUGCCCCCCUGGAAGUCUAACAGGACGUCUGGCCUCUGCUGGCCUUCCCGCCCUCUCCUUCCAAUCCCCCCUUUAGGCACAAUGACCUCCCUGCUGUUCACCGAACCUGUCAGUGUAUUCCCAUCUCAGGGUCUUCACACCCACUGUUCCCUGUGCCUAGGGAACGGUUCCCCCCGCUAAUUUCAGGGCUGCCUCACUCUUCAUCCAGGGCACCUCCUCUGAACGGUCUGCUCGGACCACAUCAUCUGAGCCAAGCCCUCCGCAGGGCCCACCUUGCGCACUCUCUGCCCUUGUCCUGCCUUUUUUUCCUUGGUCAUAGCACUUACCAUACCCGAAAUGACACUGCAUGCUUAUUUAUAUUCUUGUAUGUGGACGUCCCUCCCCCUUGAUGUAAACUCCACAAAGGCAAACCCACUGUCAUGGUCACGGCUGGAGCUCCAGCACCGGGAACAUGGUGGCACAUGGCCUCGGCCCAAUGAGGGCUUAUAAAUUGUUGGAUUAAAGAAUAACAGGAGAGAAAGGUACCGUUCCCCCAGUUUUAUCCGUGGGGAAAUGGAGGCUGAAAGCUGCUGUAUGCCCCGCACCACCAGCCAUUUUUCCACUCAGAAAAGGUGUAGUAGUUUUAACCAAGAUCACUGCAUGAAAACAAUGCAUUCAGUUAUUUUGAUAAUAAUUUAUAACAAGGCUAGAUCUUCCUUGGCUGUCCAGAUAGCAAAACUCAGUAUGUGCCUGUCAUAGCAAUCCUGAUGAUGCAUAUUAUGACCAUAAUUUACACGUGUGACUAGGCUGGGUUUUUUCCUUCAAAAACACUUGCUUUUCUGACUUCACACUGUUGUCAUCCUGUGGUCUUGUUAUUAUUGUGUGUGCGGGAACUCGGCACCUAUAACUCUGUCAGCUCCAGGAGAUGACUGUCUGUCUAGGAAUCUAAAUACCUGAUGCAUCUGAAGAAAGUUUUAGAAGGUUUGCAGAGAAUGCUCUCUUUUAGAAGUUGCUCCUCGCUGUCCUCCCUGGAGGAUGGUUUGUGGUGCUGGUGUGGGUGGAGGGGUGAGCUGCCAUUGGCUGGGGGUCCCGGGGCCCGGCAGUGCCCUCUCUGGUGACACGCAGUUGGGAGACCCUCAGUCACUCGAGUGCUUUGGCAAAAGCCAGUUGUUUGAACAUUUAUGUCCAGUUAUGCGAGUAUACUUUCCAUUUCCAUUUCUUCAGCUGUGUGAUAGGAAGAAACCCCAGGAGAAUCCAGCCAGAAGCUGUUGACCUGGAUCAACGCCUUUUUUUAAAAAAAAAAAAUCCUUUCUCCUCUUGAUUUAGGAAGCCUAAACUCUGGAAAUAUCAUGAAUCUGGGACAGUUCAGGACCUGGACAUUCAGGGUACAAAACCCUCCCCCCAUGGUGUUGCCCAGCUGUUUGGCCCACCUGGCGGUUUGGCGCCCAACACGUGGCUCAGUUGCCCUGCAAGCCUUUUUCUUCUCUUUGGAUUGGCGACUGCCUCUGUCUCUUUAUAAGGACCUUGUCCCGCCCCCCUCUGAUUGGCAGCCCUGUAGGCACACGAAGACCGACCUUGAUUGCAUCUGUGCCUUCUGGUUGGAUGCUGCGUCCCACAAAGAGGCGUUCCCAUCUGGCUCGCCCAGCCUCCAGGUCAGGAUUAGGACCCCGGUGUCCUCCAUUCUGGCCCCAUUGAAAGCUCCUCCUGGACAACGACAGUUUCUUAUACUCAUAUGUUCCUUCUAGAUUUCAGCUCAGGACUGGCCACCUAUAGCCACUCAGUAGAGACUCAUUUGCCCAACUUCUUGGUUUAUGGCAGCCAGCUGCUCUCUCUGAGAUCCCCUCAGACUUUGCAGAGUCAUGGUUCCAUACCUCCGGGUAGACCGCUCCUUCCAUAGGCAUGGCGGGAGACCUCUGCAGGGACACUGUGCCCCACUGCAGUCGCUCCUAAUCAGACGUGUCUCAGUUCAUCCCGGAGGAGGGCGGGGCACAGACUGGGAGACAAGUGACCGCUCUUGGAGAAGCAGGGUGAUGCGUUCGUGCUCCUUUCCUUCCAUUCCAGCAAAAUUCUUCUGGGGUGUUCUUUUCCUGGUGAUUGAAUUUCACUGUCUCCCUCCUCCCCGCAAGCUCAGCUCUUGCUCCACGUUGCUCUGAAUUUACUACUCUCCAGGCCUCUCUGUCCUAUUAAAUUAGAUAUUACAAAUAUCCAUCAGCCGAUGCUGUUCAGGGGGUACAGUUUCCAGUCUGUGCAUGAACUGCUGGAUGCCGUGGCUUGGAUGGACCUGAAUUUGUCUACAGAGCUACACGAAAGCCUUGUGUUUUCAUCAGUCCGGGUGUCCAGGUCCUGUCACUCUACCUAGUAAAACACUCAACUCCCCGGGAAGGGCUCCGGGAAAGUAUCCGUGUUAUGAUCUCUUGGCGGGCCUGUAGCUCUUUAUGUUUUAUCUUCUCGUGGUGAUGGUGGGGGGCGGGGGGUGUGUGUGUGUGCAUUUAUGAUCAUUUUAUUAGCCUUUCCUCAAAGAUUCAUUUUUAUUAAAAACACAAAUAUCACUAUAAAUAUCUUGGGAGGGAGGUUGAAAGGGAUUUGGGGAGACACUAGGCAAAAGGAUUGGCUGCCCAAAGGUUUACCCUCUUGCUUAAAUGAGUGACUACAAUAUGCUCGAGGGCUUUUUCUCACAGGUAGCCUUGCUCAGUUCCCUUUCAGGUAGGGAGUGACAGCUGAGCGCACUGGCUUAAAGCCAAACGUGUCACAGGGGAAAAGGCAAGUUUAUGGGGGUUGUUUUAAGAAAAAUCUUGUGUUUAGAAAAAUCAUGUUCUACUUUGGCAGUUAUUUCCUACUCAAAUUUUUUUCUGUUUGUGCAUGUCUGGUUAUGUGGGCCAAUAAUUCCCGUGUUGUUUAAGCUGAGUUAAAGUGGAUUUCCUUUUCCUUGCUGCCCGAAGUAUCCUAAUUGGUAAAUAGAGGUAACAUGUGCAGGAGACUUGGCAGUUUGCAAAGCUCCCGCACAUCAGUGGUCACAUUUAAAUCUCACGACAGCCUUGAGGUGAGUACGCUUAGAUUCCUCCCCUCGGGAGAGAGGACCGAGGCCAUGAGGGGGUGGGAGACGCAUCCAAGCUCCUAGUUCUAAUAGGUGGUGGAGCAGGACUCGAACCCAAGUCCUUUCUUCUAUUUCAGGCUCCUCCUACAAUCUCACACUGUCUCUCAAAGAAAUAGGUUUGUUCAUUUAUCCAUCUAUCUAUCUGUCCAAAACUAUUCACUGAGAACCUGCUGGAUAUCAGAUACUGUCUGGAACGCCCAGUUUGGCAGAGAAGACAGUGAGUGCGUGGGGAGUUACAGUAAAGAGCGACAAGGGCUCAGGCAUCAGCACUGGGGCUCUGGAAAAACAAAGGAGGGACACCUGGCCUGGGGCAGUAGUCAGGGAAAGCUUCCUGGAGGAAGUGAUGCUAAAGGUGAGUUUUUUCCCUGGGUGGCACCACUUUUCUACCCACCCCUUAGAGAACUCUUAGUUGAGCUCUUUUGUCAAGAAAGUAGUGAGGUGGAGCUAGUUCAAGAAGGAAGGGCAUUCCUAGCGAUCAGGAGGCCUGGAGAAGGCUGUGAGCGGGUAGUGUGGGGAAAGCGCCCCAGACAGGAGUCAGAAGAUCUGGGUCUGGCCCUGGGCAAACGCUGUCUUUCUUCCAGGACUUGCUUUCUCAUCAAUGAUACAAAGGGAUUGGAUCUUAGAAGUUCUGAUCACACUGUCCCAAGCAGGCAACAAGAACAGGGCAGAUAGGAAUGUCAUCGGGGAGCUUGGGAGGGUGCUGCCCCGUCCCUUCUCAUAGCCUCCUGCCUUUGCUCCAGCUCUUCCUGCUGCCUGGAAGGCUUUUGCCCAUCUUGUCCAUCCAUUAACAUGUAACUCACUGCUUGCUCUGUUCUUCCUGUGUCCAGGCAGAUGUAGGGCUCUUCUCGGCUCCCACAGAGCCCUGGGCCGUAACAUGCUUGUCCCACUCAGCAUGUUUGGAUAUUCGCAUGCCUGACUGUCCCUUGGCUGUGCACUCCUUGAGGGGGGGCUGCAACCUUGCAUCUCCACGUUCCUAGCACACAGCAUCGUGCCUGGUGUAUGCGUGUGUCAAAGAACGAUGGCGGACUGCGGACUUGGUUUGAUCAUAGGUCUUCAAAUUGGAAGAAGUGCCAAAAAUGACUUGGGUAUCAGAAUAAGUGCUUCCAUGCCCAUUAUGCAGACAAGACUCUCAAGGCUCCGGGAGCUUAAAAGGAUUAUGGGAAGGACACGCCAGGUCUCCUGCUUUCCAGGACGACGGUUCUGCCCUUCCACCAAGACUCCAGCUUUCACUUUCAUUUCAUCCCUUCGGGAAAACGGAAGAGGGAUUUUCGCUGGUGUGAGCUGAAGGAGACGGGAGUCGAGACUGCCUGCUUUGCCCGGCAUUCCUCCAGACGCCCCCAUCCUUCUUCUCGCUGCUGUGCCGUCUGCAUGCACAUCUGGUCACAGCCGCUCUGCUCACCUGCCCGCAGUGCCUUCCCAGGAAGCACUUCCUACGUCCACCAGCACCAGAGAUCUAACAAAGCUCUUCCAAAUCACCAGCAGACCAUUUCGAAAAACAGAUGUAAUUAAUAUCUUGGAUAGCUAUAGUGUCUAUAAUUGUAGACUUAUAUAAUAAAGUUACAUAAUUAA